GUCUUUCCCUGGCUGAUAUCACUCCUUGCCCGGACCACAGAGGGACAUUCACUACUCUAGCAGGCACUCUUCACUCUCUCAGUCUUUGUUUUCUGCUGGCAGCGGUUGUUUCUGUCGACAAUCUACCCUGUCACGUGACCCCAGGCGUAGGAAGAAGAGGCCUAAUUAUUCAUUGGUAAGACACUAACAUUUGACAGGGGAAGCCACACUAGGACCUAAAAUGUUGUUGUUCUUCACCAUCUUCUGCGCCGUCCUGACAACAGGUCAUUCGUGCUCCUGUCUUCUAAACACGAGCAGAAUCAUGGACCAACUUGAAUUGUACUGCCAGUAUCACAUGGUUGUCAUUGGAGAGCCACUCACCGAGACUGAGGACAAUGGAGAGAGGACCUACACAGUCAGAGUGCGCCACCCUUUGCUAGUUCGAAGUCCAGUCUACGAACCGUUUACAGUAACCAUCAAAACAUCCAUGUCUGAAGACACCUGCGGAAAAAGAUUUGAUCUCUCCAAUACUUACGUCUUUGCUUUAAAUAAGACGAAUCGUAAUUGGAGAACUUCAUCAUGUGACCCAAACAUCCAGUGGGAAAUGUCACAAAGCAAUCAGCUCAAAAUGAGAAGAUUUGUGAGACGUUGCCCUGGUGCGGUGUGACUACCGUGACCCGGACACAGCCUCGAAUGAAACAUCUCCCACAACCUGCCAAGCAAGUCUUCCAUGUGCUGUAAGCAAUGAAACAUCGGUCUGAUGCAGGAGGCUAGUAAAUGUACGAACUUGUGAACACAC
RNAcentral lists this long non-coding RNA (778 nucleotides) under Pomacea canaliculata. Its description in RNAcentral is "uncharacterized LOC112574851". Lineage: Eukaryota; Metazoa; Mollusca; Gastropoda; Architaenioglossa; Ampullariidae. The record is from RNAcentral.